AACGCUAGCUACAGGCUUAACACAUGCAAGUCGAGGGGAAACGACAUCGAAAGCUUGCUCUUGAUGGGCGUCGACCGGCGCACGGGUGAGUAACGCGUAUCCAACCUGCCCACCACUUGGGGAUAACCUUGCGAAAGUAAGACUAAUACCCAAUGAUAUCUCUAGAAGACAUCUGAAAGAGAUUAAAGAUUUAUCGGUGAUGGAUGGGGAUGCGUCUGAUUAGCUUGUUGGCGGGGUAACGGCCCACCAAGGUAACGAUCAGUAGGGGCUCUGAGAGGAAGGUCCCCCACAUUGGAACUGAGACACGGUCCAAACUCCUACGGGAGGCAGCAGUGAGGAAUAUUGGUCAAUGGGCGAGAGCCUGAACCAGCCAAGUAGCGUGCAGGAUGACGGCCCUAUGGGUUGUAAACUGCUUUUAUAAGGGAAUAAAGUGAGUCUCGUGAGACUUUUUGCAUGUACCUUAUGAAUAAGGAUCGGCUAAUUCCGUGCCAGCAGCCGCGGUAAUACGGAAGGUCCGGGCGUUAUCCGGAUUUAUUGGGUUUAAAGGGAGCGUAGGCCGGAGAUUAAGCGUGUUGUGAAAUGUAGACGCUCAACGUCUGCACUGCAGCGCGAACUGGUUUACUUGAGUACGCACAAAGUGGGCGGAAUUCGUGGUGUAGCGGUGAAAUGCUUAGAUAUCACGAAGAACUCCGAUUGCGAAGGCAGCUCACUGGAGCGCAACUGACGCUGAAGCUCGAAAGUGCGGGUAUCGAACAGGAUUAGAUACCCUGGUAGUCCGCACGGUAAACGAUGGAUGCCCGCUGUUGGUCUGAAUAGGUCAGCGGCCAAGCGAAAGCAUUAAGCAUCCCACCUGGGGAGUACGCCGGCAACGGUGCAACUCAAAGGAAUUGACGG
RNAcentral lists this ribosomal RNA (894 nucleotides) under uncultured Bacteroidota bacterium. Its description in RNAcentral is "bacterial SSU rRNA". It matches the Rfam family "Bacterial small subunit ribosomal RNA", at positions 32 to 916 of the family's 1533-position model. The record is from RNAcentral. Lineage: Bacteria; Pseudomonadati; Bacteroidota.